AUCCUUUUGUGGUUCAUAUGGUGAUGAUUAGGUAUUCACUCUAUUGUGUGAAAGGUGCCUCCUUCAAACCUUGUUAUAACAUCGGGAUAUUACCCAUCUGAUG
Small nucleolar RNA from Cynocephalus volans (Philippine flying lemur), 103 nucleotides. RefSeq annotates it as small nucleolar RNA U13. The transcript has a single exon. The record is from RefSeq and is a predicted model, not a curated record. NCBI's taxonomy places the organism in Eukaryota, Metazoa, Chordata, Mammalia, Dermoptera, Cynocephalidae.